RNAcentral lists this ribosomal RNA (819 nucleotides) under uncultured Pseudomonadota bacterium. RNAcentral's name for it is "bacterial SSU rRNA". It matches the Rfam family "Bacterial small subunit ribosomal RNA", at positions 73 to 896 of the family's 1533-position model. Lineage: Bacteria; Pseudomonadati; Pseudomonadota. The record is from RNAcentral.
GGGGGGGCAACUCCCUGAGUAAAGCGGCGCACGGGUGAGUAACACGUGGGUAAUCUGCCCUGGAGUGGGGAAUAACACCGGGAAACCGGUGCUAAUACCGCAUACGAUAGCGAGGUCUGCGGAUCUUGCGAUGAAAGGAGCAAUUCGCUCUAGGAGGAGCCCGCGGCUGAUUAGCUAGUUGGUGAGGUAAUGGCUCACCAAGGCUACGAUCAGUAUCCGGUCUGAGAGGACGGUCGGACACACUGGAACUGAGACACGGUCCAGACUCCUACGGGAGGCAGCAGUGGGGAAUUUUUGGCAAUGGGGGCAACCCUGACCAAGCAACGCCGCGUGGGUGAUGAAGUCUCUUGGGACGUAAAACCCUUUCGACGGGGAAGAAAACCGCAAGGUUUGACGGUACCCGUAGAAGAAGCCCCGGCUAACUCCGUGCCAGCAGCCGCGGUAAUACGGGGGGGGCAAGCGUUGUUCGGAAUUACUGGGCGUAAAGGGCGCGUAGGCGGUCCGCUAAGUUGGAUGUGAAAACUCUGGGCUUAACCCAGAGCCUGCAUUCAAAACUGACGGGCUAGAGUUCUGGAGGGGGUAGCGGAAUUCCUGGUGUAGCGGUGAAAUGCGUAGAUAUCAGGAGGAACACCGGUGGCGAAGGCGGCUACCUGGACAGAAACUGACGCUGAGGCGCGAAAGCUAGGGGAGCAAACAGGAUUAGAUACCCUGGUAGUCCUAGCCCUAAACGAUGGAUACUUGGUGUGACUGGGAUUGAAUCCAGUCGUGCCGAAGCUAACGCAUUAAGUAUCCCGCCUGGGGAGUACGGUCGCAAGGCUG